GGGGACGAUUUUGGUUUCGACAGGGAUUUGAGUUUAAUAUGCAAAGCGCGUGGUGCGGCCAUACACCUUAAAAUGGGCAAAGCGAAUAAACGCAGAAAACAAUAACGUUGUUUCAUUUAAUAGUGCUGCAGUUGCUGCCUAACUUGAAGCGACAAACUUGAUUGAACUUUUUCAAUCUGCUCACCUUCUGAUUUGCCAUCAAAAGAAUUGAGUAUCAUCUUAGGCAAAAACUUUACGUUGAGUUGUCCUUGUAAAUGUAAAAAACUUUAAGGAAUUGUUUUUGAAAGUCUGUUUGUGGACUCCUUGAAAACGAAAAACAAACACAAACUACACGCGUAGAAAGAUAUUAGACAGAGUUCUUGGACGAGGGUUCAAUUCCCUCCGUCUCCACCA
This 393-nucleotide transfer-messenger RNA is filed under the name bovine gut metagenome. It matches the Rfam family "transfer-messenger RNA". Rfam says of the family: Bacterial tmRNA, also known as 10Sa RNA or SsrA, is named for its dual tRNA and mRNA-like properties. Its role is to liberate the mRNA from a stalled ribosome. The record is from RNAcentral.